Molecule: non-coding RNA, 1091 nt
Organism: Agelaius phoeniceus (red-winged blackbird)
Lineage: Eukaryota; Metazoa; Chordata; Aves; Passeriformes; Icteridae
Source: RefSeq, a predicted model, not a curated record
CGCUCUUGCUUGAUUCGCUUCUGCUUGCUUUUGCUCAUUAGCUAGUUUAGCUAAACUGUCCAAAUUUCAUUCUGGACUGUUUCUCCUUUCCUUUUUCCACCCAUUUCAAACCUGCUCCAGACUGGGACCUGGGAACACCGAGAGUUUGCACCUUGCAGCCUGCAGCAGCUGCCCCAGUGCCGGAGGGACUGAGAACAGACUGACCACCCCCCAGGAGAGACUUUCUGAAUUUGUCAUCUUUUUCAGAGUGGUGCCAUCCGGCUCUUUGUUGUCCCUUGCACCUCUUGUCUCGCUGCCCCUGUCUUAAUCUCAGUGCGGCCCAAGCCCAUCUCAGAAAGCUUCCAAGCAGCAGCCAGAAGUGGAUGAGGCUCCAAGGACUCUACAAAUCCAUUCUGCAUUUCAGUGGCACAGAGAAGCACAGACAAGAAGGGACUUGCUGCAACAAAUGUUCAGCUAUUCCUGCUUUCAUAAGGAGACGUUGGUUGCCAAGUAGCCCAAAGGCCAGAGGAAACAAACCUCCUCCUCCUCUUAUCUGCUCCUAAGUAUUUCUCUUCCAUCUUGGUGUGGGAAAAGAAAAUAACAGGAAAGGGAGGAUAUGAAAAAUAGGAUGUUCCACUGGGGAAAAAGAAAAAGAUUUAAGGUAAAUUUAUGGCCUGGUGAAGGCCUAAAGAAGGAUCUGCAGAUUAGAUGCAAGGAGUUUGUGGUUAGGUAGUGGAAAGCAGAACCAGCAGAAUGAGACAGAAAAAGGGAGAUGCUGGGAGAAGUGAGAGAUUUUGGCAGAACUAGGCAAAAUAAGGAAAAGGAAAAAAUGAAAAGAAAAAUGCAAAAGGAGCUUAAAGCUUUUGUCUUUUCAAAAUAAAACUUUUUUGAAAGAAAAAUGUAACUAAUCCGAAUGGGACUGGAGUAAUUAGUAGAUGGAGAAGUGCCAAAUAUAAUGAAAAAUAGAGAGGAAGAAGGAAAAUGUAAAAAUGAAAGGAAGUGGAAAAGGGGAGGGGGAACACCCUACAUUACUUCUAUUUUCCAAUUCCUUUGUUUUGUCAUAUGUCCUUGGGAAAUCAGUUUAUUGUGAUAAAAGAAUUUAUGUCUAACAA